RNAcentral lists this ribosomal RNA (371 nucleotides) under uncultured bacterium. RNAcentral describes it as "bacterial SSU rRNA". It matches the Rfam family "Bacterial small subunit ribosomal RNA", at positions 790 to 1167 of the family's 1533-position model. The record is from RNAcentral.
GUAGUCUUGGCCCUAAACGAUGUUCACUAGGUGUUGGGGGUUUCCCUCGGUGCCGCAGCUAACGCAUUAAGUGAACCGCCUGGGGACUACGGCCGCAAGGUUGAAACUCAAAGGAAUUGGCGGGGGCCCGCACAAGCGGUGGAGCAUGUGGCUUAAUUCGAUGCAACGCGAAGAACCUUACCAGGGCUUGACAUGUAUCUGCAAGCUGCCGAAAAGCAGUCGCUUUCGAAGGUGAUACACAGGUGGUGCAUGGCUGUCGUCAGCUCGUGUUGUGAAAUGUUGGGUUAAGUCCCGCAACGAGCGCAACCCUCAUUGUCUGUUACCAGCGGGUCAAGCCGGGAACUCUGACGAAACUGCCUCUGUAAAGAGGA